RNAcentral lists this ribosomal RNA (414 nucleotides) under Triticum aestivum (bread wheat). RNAcentral's name for it is "partial small subunit ribosomal RNA". The record is from RNAcentral. Lineage: Eukaryota; Viridiplantae; Streptophyta; Magnoliopsida; Poales; Poaceae.
AUGAAGGAGCUGAAGGAGAUCCACAUGGAGGACACCGAAGAGGAGGAAAUGCAUGACAUCGACAGCUGCGACUUCGGCAACUCCCUUGCGGUUGUUGAAUAUGUGGAUGAAAUUUACAGCUUCUACAGAAGGACCGAGGUCCACUAUAAGUUUGAGCUACUGGGUGAAUUUUAUUCCUUACUGUCAACAUCGUUGAUAGAUACCUGGCCCGGGAAAAUGUCGCUAGGAAGAAGCUGUUGCUGUUGCUGUUGCAGGUUUAUGGCACUUGCAGGGAUAACACAAAUUCCAUCUGUUUUUUUGUUCUUUGUUUUGAUUGAUGUGCGUUCAUUACCAAUUCCUGAGGAUGAUUUGUGUUCCUCAUGGAGAUUAGUCUCGGACGCUACAAGCUAUUCUCUGUUGUGUGGUAUAUCCUGA